This is a long non-coding RNA of Nothobranchius furzeri (turquoise killifish), 2042 nucleotides long. RefSeq lists it as uncharacterized. NCBI's taxonomy places the organism in Eukaryota, Metazoa, Chordata, Actinopteri, Cyprinodontiformes, Nothobranchiidae. The record is from RefSeq and is a predicted model, not a curated record.
UUUCACUUCAUGACUUACACCUUCCGCUCCCUUAAUGGUGUGCCUGUAAGAACCCUCCUUUACCUGGUGCUUCCUGUUUUGCUUCAUUUGCACUCCGCUGUGGCAUAUCGGAGCUGGUGAUUUAGAGUCAUUCAGUAUCAACUGAACUCCAGACCGAACUCAUACUCAUGUUAAGUGUACAGCUGUCUGAGCAGGGUUGAUGCACCGGUGAGUUGUUUGUCCAAUUGGCUUUUGCAGUCAGUGUAAAUGUGGGCCUCACUGUUGUUUGCUUAACACUGCAGCAGACCACCCAUCACCCAGUAUUCAGACACUCAUGCUGUAAUUAGACAGGUCUACUCAGUGUGGUGCGAUCCAGGAUGGCCAGCCACCCAUACCCACUGUGAUGUGGUAGGACCUCUGAUGUGACAAUUGUACAUCAUCUUGAGUCUAUAGAGCACCGGACAUCACGUGACUCUCAGAGAGUAGAUGCCAUGUUGGCAGGCAACAAAGAAGCUGUCGGAGCGGACUUCUUACUGGACCUGGCCAGGGAAAGCCUUGGGAUUCCCCCGGAGGAGCUGGCCCAAGUGGCUGGGGAGAGGGAAGUCUGGGCCUCUCGACUUAGGCUACUGCCCCCACAACUCGACUCCAGAUAAGUGGAUGAAAAUGGAUGGAUCGAUGGACAAAUAACACAGAUUUACAUGUAAGUAGUUUAAAUAGAGUGUUGUGCUGUUUGAUUGUAUAAACUGAACGCCAAGAGAAAUCACUAGUCUGAUUUUUUCCGUGAGUAAAAUAAAUAUGUCAGGCAGGAGCGUCUCAGGAUCUGUCUGAGAUCUGACUCAGUGAGAUAGAUAAUAGCAAUCCAAAGUGCUUUUUACGUGUGAUCUGACAAUUGAUCAACCAUUGCUUAAAAAUUAAAUACUGCUUAGCCUGUUAAUUGCUGUGAUCAUAAAACACGUAAACAGCAGCACGCAGAAAUCAUGAGGCAACGUUUUACGUGACGUUUACUUGUUGCUAUGAGUAAUAAGACAGAAAAAGCCAUGCCAAAAUAAGUUUAGGAAGCCCACUAAGAAUUGUAAUAAAAGCAUUUAAAAUAAAUACCAUAUACAGUUGAGGAAACGUUGGUUUAAGUACCUGAUAUGAAGUGGUCGCUGCAUAAGUGAAAACCUUUACUCUUGGCAUCCCACAGUUUCAUUUUAGCCCGGUGUUAUGGGCUUUGAGUAAUUGUUUUCUCUGUUACCGGGGACUUCACACAACUUUGGGUCCUUGGAGGAGAAGUGGGGGCGUGAGCUCCUGCUGCAACGAGGUGCAGGGUUGCCGGGACAACGGGGGAGGAUCCCCGCAACAAGGACAGACAGCGGCAAUAUCGAGGGGAGGAAUCUCCAGGACGCGGAUCAGGGAUCACACCUGCAGCAAAUGAACUGAUUGCUCGCCUCACCUCUUCAAACAGGAUUUAAGCAGGUCAUGGACGCUCCGACGAGGAGCGACUCUUUAACCUUGAGCUCGUCUCCGCAGCUGCUUCAUUGUGCACAUUUACUGUUUGGCAAAUUCACUAGCGCGUUUUACUGCAAUGAUCCAACAUUUGCGGCGUUCCAGAUCUUGGGAAUUCUGUAGAUGGCUCUUGUCCGUGUCUGUUCUGCAUCCUGGGGCACAACAGGAAUCUACCAUAUUUCCUGUUUGAUUGAGUUUUCUGACAAUAACAAAUAGUCCAGCUGCGGGCUUCUGCCUGCCAAUGUGGCACCGUUUUGAUUUGAACUGUUGCAUGCCCGGAGAAGUGACGUCAACUCCCGGAGCUCUACUAUAUGGUCUCACCUUUGGAUAAAGAGAGAUAAAGACUGCUGGUUGGACUGUCAAAGGAGAUCUCUUCUAAAACAAAUCGUGGACUCUGGAAAUCACGGGAUUUACUUUGUGUUACCUUUUUCCAUUAAUCAUACGGGGUGUUGUGUUUUGUAAUUUCUGUCAUAGUAUCAUAAGAAUAUAAAAUAUAAAAAUAUAAUAUAUAAAUAAAUAUAAAGGCAAUACUUUACAUGAUUAUUAUUAUAUCCUGUUUUUGUUAGUAAAUACGU